CAUCCUGGUCCGUCCUGUGCUGCCUCCUAGGACUAGGCCUCCAGUGGGUCUCGCCAGUCCAGAGCCGCCAGAGCUGCUCGCCAGUCCGGAGCCGCCAGAGCUGCCCGCCAGUCCGGAGCCGCCAGAGCUGCCCGCCAGUCCGGAGCCGCCAGAGCUGCCCGCCAGUCCGGAGCCGCCAGAGCUGCCCACCAGUCAGGAGCCGCCAGAGCCGCCCGCCGGUCCGGAGCCGUCAGAGCCGCCCGCCGGUCAGGAGCUGUCAGAGCCGCCCGCCGGUCAGGAGCUGUCAGAGCCGCCCGCCGGUCAGGAGCCGUCAGAGCCGCCCGCCGGUCAGGAGCCGUCAGAGCCGCCCGCCGGUCAGGAGCCGCCAGAGCCGCCCGCCAGUCAGGAGCCGCCAGAGCCGCCCGCCUGUCCGGAGCCGCCAGAGCCGCCCACCUGUCCGGAGCCGCCAGAGCCGCCCGCCUGUCCGGAGCAGUCAGAGCCGCCCGCCAGCUCGGCCAUGCUGUUUCCAGGCCCACCCAGCUAAUUGGCAUACACGAUGAGGCGGCUCCUGAAAGUUCGACCGUGGGGCAGGGGAUUCCAGUACCUGAUUGACGGGGAGGGUUAUGGCCCGGAGGAGAGGUGAUGGGUCCCCGCUAGGGACAUCCUGGACCCAGGCCUCAUCACUGAGUUUCAACGCCGGCACCCCGGUCAACCAGUUUUCCCAGUUUUGACCAUUCUGCCUGGCCUGACCUUGAGCCUGCCUGCCGUUAUGUACCUUAUCACACCACCCUGGAUUACUGACCUCUCCCUGCCCUGACCCUGAGCCUGCCUGCUGUUCUGUACCUUUCGGACUCUGCUCUGGAUUACUGACCUCUGCCUGCCUUUGACCUGUCGUUAUGC
Molecule: long non-coding RNA, 879 nt
Filed under: Salmo salar (Atlantic salmon)
Lineage: Eukaryota; Metazoa; Chordata; Actinopteri; Salmoniformes; Salmonidae
Description: lncRNA (ENSSSAG00000115215.1)
Source: RNAcentral